UUCAUAUGAGAAAUUGAAGGGGAAGGAGAGAACCAAGAGAAUAAAGAAAGGUAUUAUGGUCAUAUGUCAUCAAUCUUCAACAACGGUGCAAGUUUCUUUGGCCAUGAUCCGAUCUUGGCAUGUUUCGUGAACAAUAAAUUAUUGGGCUUAUUAAUCUCUUUUUCUUCUUGAAUUUUGAAAAUAAAAAAUUGAAGUUUCAAAAAAUAGAUAUGGGGAUUCCAUUAAAAGAUGUUCAUGUUAUCUUCAUUUCUGACACAUGUGCUGAGAGUUGGACAAGAAACUGCAAAGAAAACAAUUGGAUUCAUAUAGAGUUGUUUCAAUAGGAAAGUAAGAAGGUGUAAAAGGGUAUUGGAAGGGAAACCUUGCCCAGGUGCUUUACAUUAUUUGAGGAAAUGAAAGGAAAACCGUAAAUGAGGGCAAAUUUGUAAUAUUUAAUACUUAAUGGGAAAUUCACAACCAGUGUAAAAUUUAGUCAACUUUUUGCUUAUUAGUCUUACAAGGUACGCAAAAACUUUUUCUUGGAAUUUUGCCCUUUAAAUUGAUGUUGACUUUUGUAGAAACUUUAUAGGGGGGAAAGAUGGUGAGCUUUCUGUUAUUGGGAGAUUAGCUGCAGAUACUUCUGCUGGAAUGACUUCCAUUUUGCCCUUUAUUUUGGUUUUUACUUUAACUUUAUAACAAUUUUUCCUGCUUAAAGAAUACUUGAUGUUUUUUAUUAUUGUUCUCAAAGUAUUUUUCAAACAUCCAUAAUUACUAAAGGAGUUACAAAAUGGUCCAUUGCAGAUCCUACAUCUUUUUCACAGUACAUCUAUUUGACAUUAUCUUCUAUGAACUUCAUCAACAAGAUUCAUCAGAUGAAGAAGUCAAAGUCGAGUCAGCCAAACAAAUAACAAAACAAGAUUACUUCAUGAGGAUUGACGAAUCAAACAAAGGGCCAUUUGGGGUUGCUAUUACAAAUGCAAACAUCUCCUUCAAAAUAUAAGCAAGAUGGAUUCAUGAUGAAAUUAAACAAUAGGCGCGGUUCUAAUAUAUUGUGAGCUAUGAAUCUAGUGACAUGUUUGUAUGCUAUCUGAUUUUAGUCUACUACAAAUAUUCCUUUAUAUGCUAUCUGAUUUUUUUGUUUCCUUUUGAAUAAAAAUACAGGCGACAAGGAAGAAGUAAAUCAAAUUGUAUGUGCUCUGUUAUUUGACACAAGAAAUUUUAGUGAGGCAUUCACUAGAUUAAUUUUAAUGUUUCAAAGGGACGAUGCAGCAUAAGUAGAAGAACAAUGGGUCAUUGGAUUUCAUUUCACCUUACCAAUGAAGAUGGUUGCAGUUCCGUUUUGACAACUGAGGCAUCUAUAGAAAAUCAUGAAACCGGUUCUACAUAGGAUUUCCCUCCAAACAUUUCCCUUUUAACAUUAUUGGUCAUCCUGCUUUGGCUGAUAAUGGAAGAAGUUCUUUGAGACGUUUACUCAUUGCUUAUGCUAGACAUGUUCUACUACAAGAUAGUAUACAACUUGAAACAAGAGAAAAAAAACUAACAUAGCGCCAACGGCGCAAAUGAUUCCACUCUAGUUAUAUUAUAAAAAUAUAAAAAAUAUAUUUUUUCUA
Lactuca sativa (garden lettuce) is the source of this 1589-nucleotide non-coding RNA. NCBI's taxonomy places the organism in Eukaryota, Viridiplantae, Streptophyta, Magnoliopsida, Asterales, Asteraceae. The record is from RefSeq and is a predicted model, not a curated record.